GGUGAACGCUGGCGGCGUGCUUAACACAUGCAAGUCGAACGAACCAUUUGCGACAGAUUUUUUCGGAAUGAAGUUGCUUAUGAAUGAGUGGCGGACGGGUGAGUAACGCGUGGGUAACUUGCCUUGUACUGGGGGGUGGCAGCUGGGAACGGCUGGUAAUACCGCUUAAGCGCCCAAUGUUUCAUGACCUGGUGUGUAAAAUUCCGGGGGUAUAAAAUGGACCAGCGUUGGAUUGGCUGGUGGGUGAGAUAACAGCUCACCAAGGCGACGAUCAGUAGCAGACCUGAGAGGGUGACCGGCCACAUUGGGACUGAGACACGGCCCAGACUCCUACGGGAGGCAGCAGUGGGGAAUAUUGCACAAUGGAGGAAAGUCUGACGCAGCGACGCCGCGUGAAUGAUGAAGUAAUUAGUUAUGUAAAGCUCUAUCAGCAGGGAAGAUAGUGACGGUACCUGAAGAAGAAGCCCCGGCUAAAUACGUG
Molecule: ribosomal RNA, 481 nt
Filed under: uncultured bacterium
Lineage: Bacteria
Description: partial 16S ribosomal RNA
Rfam family: Bacterial small subunit ribosomal RNA
Source: RNAcentral